RNAcentral lists this ribosomal RNA (468 nucleotides) under uncultured bacterium. RNAcentral describes it as "partial 16S ribosomal RNA". It matches the Rfam family "Bacterial small subunit ribosomal RNA", at positions 28 to 507 of the family's 1533-position model. The record is from RNAcentral.
GACGAACGCUGGCGGCGUGCUUAACACAUGCAAGUCGAACGGAAAGGCCCUGCUUUUGUGGGGUGCUCGAGUGGCGAACGGGUGCGUAACACGUGAGUAACCUGCCCUUGACUUUGGGAUAACUUCAGGAAACUGGGGCUAAUACCGGAUAGGAGCUCCUGCUGCAUGGGGGGGGUUGGAAAGUUUCGGCGGUUGGGGAUGGACUCGCGGCUUAUCAGCUUGUUGGUGGGGUAGUGGCUUACCAAGGCUUUGACGGGUAGCCGGCCUGAGAGGGUGACCGGCCACAUUGGGACUGAGAUACGGCCCAGACUCCUACGGGAGGCAGCAGUGGGGAAUAUUGCACAAUGGGCGGAAGCCUGAUGCAGCAACGCCGCGUGCGGGAUGACGGCCUUCGGGUUGUAAACCGCUUUCGCCUGUGACGAAGCGUGAGUGACGGUAAUGGGUAAAGAAGCACCGGCUAACUACGUG